UAGGGAAUCUUCGGCAAUGGACGAAAGUCUGACCGAGCAACGCCGCGUGAGUGAAGAAGGUUUUCGGAUCGUAAAACUCUGUUGUUAGAGAAGAACAAGGACGUUAGUAACUGAACGUCCCCUGACGGUAUCUAACCAGAAAGCCACGGCUAACUACGUGCCAGCAGCCGCGGUAAUACGUAGGUGGCAAGCGUUGUCCGGAUUUAUUGGGCGUAAAGCGAGCGCAGGCGGUUUCUUAAGUCUGAUGUGAAAGCCCCCGGCUCAACCGGGGAGGGUCAUUGGAAACUGGGAGACUUGGGUGCAGGAGAGGAGAGUGGAAUUCCAUGUGUAGCGGUGAAAUGCGUAGAUAUAUGGAGGAACACCAGUGGCGAAGGCGGCUCUCUGGUCUGUAACUGACGCUGAGGCUCGAAAGCGUGGGGAGCAAACAGG
Molecule: ribosomal RNA, 429 nt
Filed under: Gemmatimonadota bacterium
Lineage: Bacteria; Pseudomonadati; Gemmatimonadota
Description: Gemmatimonadetes bacterium partial 16S ribosomal RNA
Rfam family: Bacterial small subunit ribosomal RNA
Source: RNAcentral